Molecule: ribosomal RNA, 648 nt
Filed under: Methanosaeta sp. enrichment culture clone SA4-59
Lineage: Archaea; Methanobacteriati; Methanobacteriota; Methanomicrobia; Methanotrichales; Methanotrichaceae
Description: bacterial SSU rRNA
Rfam family: Archaeal small subunit ribosomal RNA
Source: RNAcentral
GGGUCUGCGGCCUAUCAGGUAGUAGUGGGUGUAACGUACCUACUAGCCUACGACGGGUACGGGUUGUGAGAGCAAGAGCCCGGAGAUGGAUUCUGAGACACGAAUCCAGGCCCUACGGGGUGCAGCAGGCGCGAAAACUUUACAAUGCGGGAAACCGUGAUAAGGGGACACCGAGUGCCAGCAUCAUAUGCUGGCUGUCCGGAUGUGUAAAAUACAUCCGUUAGCAAGGGCCGGGCAAGACCGGUGCCAGCCGCCGCGGUAACACCGGCGGCCUGAGUGGUAACCGCUAUUAUUGGGUCUAAAGGGUCUGUAGCCGGCCAGGUAAGUCCCUUGGGAAAUCUGGCAGCUCAACUGUCAGGCUGCUAGGGGAUACUGCUGGGCUUGGGACCGGGAGAGGUGAGAGGUACCUUGGGGGUAGGGGUGAAAUCUUGUGAUCCUCGGGGGACCACCAGUGGCGAAGGCGUCUCACCAGAACGGGUCCGACGGUAAGGGACGAAAGCUAGGGGCACGAACCGGAUUAGAUACCCGGGUAGUCCUAGCCGUAAACGAUGCUCGCUAGGUGUCAGUCACGGUGCGACCGUGAUUGGUGCCGUAGGGAAGCCGUGAAGCGAGCCACCUGGGAAGUAUGGCCGCAAGGCUGAAACUUAA